UCGUUUGGUGGAGAACGGUGAAUCAGAGACGAAGUCUGCGAAACAGUGUGCAUCUCCGACUUCAAAUGUGACAAACGAGCCUGAGGUGGCUCAGAAAUGCCCUAAGUUAGGCAUGACUUCUGUGCGUGGAAGGAGGAGAGAUAUGGAAGACGCUGUGGCCAUUCACCCCUUGCUUUGCCGCCGGAGUAGUCAGAAUCCGGCGGAUUUGCACUUUUUCGGCGUUUACGACGGCCACGGUUGCUCACAUGUGGCGAUGAAGUGCAAAGAUCGAUUGCACGAGAUAGUGAGAGACGAGCUCGAAAGCCACGAAGAAGAUUCGUGGAAGAAAAUGAUGGAGCGAAGUUUCUCUUCUUGCAGAGUUACGGCUGUGGAGAGUGGAAGGUAUGUGUAGAAAAUUCCAGCGGGCAGCAAAGGCAAAGGUGUCGGCCGGCUGCCCGCCGGUGAGAAAGAAAUACAGGCUUAAAUCUUAUCGCUCUGAUACCAUGUAAGAAAUAAUGUAUAGAAAAAAAGAGAGAGAAUAAAUUGUAUGUAUUAUUAUUGAUUGAUGUAAUGUUAUAUAUAUUACAAUGAUUCAUGAAUUGGGUCCUUCUCCGAUAGAUGUCUUUAGAGGUGGAUAUAGGCAGUCACAAGAAUAGACUCGUCUCAUCUAGACACAAGUUCAAGAGCAACUUAACCAACAUAGAGUGUGAAUGGAGAUGCAAAUGAAGGAGAUGAUGGAUGCCAUACUUAGUGAGAUGCUAGGCACAAUCCAAGCUCGACAAGCACAAAUAGAGCAAUUGGUGUCUCAACAGGCCAUGGGUGGGCCUGUUGCACCAGUUGCUACACAUGUGCAUUUACAACAACAAUCCUAUGCAAGCACCUCAUCAUUUAAUUGCCAUCGUUCGUCCCAAGAAGCAAGACGGGCAUCAUCUAGGAGAGAAGUCCUUCAUACUGAUUUUCUCACACCACCUAUCCUGAACGAAUCUAUUAUAGUAUUGGGAAAGUUAGCUGACAUCAAAGCAGUGGCUCAGGGGAGAUACCCACAGGCUGAGCGUUUUCGGCUUUCAGUUGGACAUCCACAAGCAUUUACAACCGAUCCAAAUAUCAUUGCGGCAUUAAGUAUCACAGGAAACUUUGGGUUUCACCCUUGUUCUCAUGGUGACUUCCUUGGCACAAUUCUUGUCACAGGGAUUGCUAGGGAGAAGUUGGGGGAUAUUAUCUUGCAGGGAGAAAGGGGAGCUCAGGUUCUUAUUGUUCCAGAACUUGUUGACUUCAUCACAGCAGCAUUGGACAAGGUUCCUGAAUGCAUCGACAAGCUUGCACAAGUUGGAAUAAAAAUAUGGGUUUUGACAGGAGACAAGAUGGAGACUGCAAUUAAUAUUGGGUAUGAUUGGUAGAUAUGACUUUCCACAUCAGUUAGACUUCAAGUCUAAUACUAACAAAUAAUAUUAAACUCGGAGGCACCAGGGUUUAAAGCGCUGGAGAAAGCUGGGAAUGAGUCUGCCAUCCGUGAGGACUUCGUAUCAGGAGAUCCCACUGUGAUCCCUCUUGGGAACUAUCAGGAGGCUCAUGUUUGCAAUUCAAAGUCUGGAGAUUGUGCUGCAUUCCUUGCAAACUACAAUUCUAAUUCCUUUGCAAAGUUGGUUUUUGGGAAUAUGCACUACAACCUGCCUCCUUGGUCCAUCAGCAUUCUUCCCGACUACAAGAUAUGUUUAUCGAACUGAUUUAUUUUGUUAUUGUUAUUAUUUUUUUGUUGGAGUCUUAAUCUGUAGUCCCUAAAAAUUGGCCAGUAGUUUCUUCAGUUGGUGUUCUAACUCAGCAAUGAAAUAUGCAAUUGAAUGAUUUUUCAUUUGUCGAGUUGAGGAUGUUUUCAUAAUAUUAGAAGACUUAGCAGCAGAACACCUGGUGUUUGGAUACUCUGAAGGACUUCAUUAUGAUGUGGAAAAGAUGGUUUUUUUGCGUGGACUUGUGGAUAAUCCAUAUUGGUAUAAUGACUGUCGUGGUACAUAGAUCACCUUCUGUCGUGGUACAUAUGUACCAUUUGUCAGCGUACAUAUAGGACGUUUAGUCAUGGUCCAUAGAAAAAUUUUGUCGUGGUACAUAUAUUACCUUUUGUUGUGGUACAUAUCACGAUGGUAAUUUGUACCAUGCCAAAUGGUAAUUUCGCUUAGUAGUAAAUGUAUUUUUUUUUUUGUAUACGGA
Non-coding RNA from Camellia sinensis, 2181 nucleotides. NCBI's taxonomy places the organism in Eukaryota, Viridiplantae, Streptophyta, Magnoliopsida, Ericales, Theaceae. The record is from RefSeq and is a predicted model, not a curated record.